GCUGCUGCCGGUGGGGGGUCCUGGAGCGGGGCCGGGCUGGGGGUGGCUGGGCCCGGCUCCCCGUGGGAGUGCUUCGGCUGGGGCGUUUGGGGUGCGCACCCAGCGCUGGCGGUGAUGCCAGGGAAAGCAAGCCUGAAACAGCAAUAAUGAAGCGGCGCCUUGCCUGUGCUGGGGCUGCCCCACAGAGGCGUGGGGCCGGGCCCUCUGCAGUUCCUGAGCACUCCCCAAAAGUGCGUGUGGGGCCCCAGGGGUGCAGGGCUGUGGGGUGGCUACAUUCCCCCCAGCAUUGCCCAUGGGGACUGCAAAGGGGGUCAGCUGGUUUGGGGGCCAGAAAUGGAGACCCAAGUUUUCUGUUCCUGGGGCUUGAAAACAGGCUCGCGUGGCUGAUUUUGGGGCUCGGAAACAGGCCGAGCUGCGCGGCUUUGAGCCCAGAAACAGAGGUCCGGCCCUGCAUUUUUGGGCCUUGAGAACAGGCUCAGCAGCCAGGUUUUUUGGCUCCCAAAUGGGCACUGAGUCAGCUGGUUUGGGGGCCAAAAGCGGAAGCUGGUGUGGCUGGUUUUGCAGGUGGGUGAGAGGCAGGCGAGUGGGAGGGUGUUGGGGGCUGUGGGGGAAAGCAGGGGGUGGGCAGGGGGCAUGGACCUUCUCUGGAGAUGGUGGUCUGGUUGUGUCGGACGCCGAAGUUCAGGAGGCCAGCACGCAGCAGGCCAAACUCAACAUCUGCGAUGGUCUGUGGGGGGAAAGGCACUUUUCAGACUGCACGUGCCCUCUCUGAGUCCAGCUCUUCUUUCUACGCUGCUUAGAAUAGUUGUUAAGUAAUUAAUUGCACAAACUAAUGAAUAUUUAUACAGCGUAUAACUAUGAUGUUUAAUCCUAAUGCUCAAGUUUUGACAGCAAUUGAUUUACAACCUUAUCGGAAGCCCAGGCUGUUGCAUGUAGCUGGAGCUUGGAAGGAGAAGAAGUUGAAAUCAACCAGAGCUUCAGUGCAGAGCUGGGGCUUCAAUUAGCCAGAACUGUAGCAAGCGGGAGCUGGAAUGAGGCGGGGUGUCCGCUGUCUGGAGCGUGCAUUAGCCAGAGGCAAAAUUACCUGUGGCUGUAAUGAGCAGGAGCUGCAAUUAGCUGGAGUGUCUCUCUGCUGGAGCGUCCGUUGGCCGGACUGCGCUCCCAGCACGGCUGAAGAGCGGCCGGGUGCAGGCAGGGCUGUCCACAGCAAGCAGCUCCGAGCAGCAGGGAGGUGAGUUGUCCUUCUGCCAGCGGGGAGCCCAGCCUCUUCCCUUGGGGAUCUAAUCCAGACCACACUCCUCUCUCUGCGUGGAGGGUCUCUCCCAGUCUGUUCCUGAGGGCAGCAGUGAGGUUGGGGUCCCCCGGUUAUCCCGGGGCAGCCCCUGCUGCGAGGGGGUGCGGGCGAGGCGUCGCCAUCCCCUCGGUACCGGGCAAAGGGGAGAGAAAGCGGCCAGUGGGAGCUCCUGGGGUGCUGAGCCCUUCCGGCAGAAUCCUCCCCUGUCUUUUCACCGUUGGCUGGGUGUGACAAACAGGUUAAUUUUUUGUCUCCUCUUUUUCCAGUGUCACCUUCUGCGGCACAUGAAGGAAAUCCUGCGUGGUUAAUUCCGCUUGCUGCUCAGACUGUUGAUGGCAUGUUGUUCUGUGGCACAAUCCCCAUGCCGUUCAGUGGAGUCUUCAGUCUAGGACUUCUAAGUAAAAAAGUUUGUCCUUCCAAAAAAGGACUAGUCAUUCAUAGGACUGGGGCUGUAGCUGUUGUGGUGGAUCUGUAAGCAUAGAUUCUGAUUGUGUACGACCUCGUCCCGCAGCUUCACAGGGUUAUCUCCCUGCAGCAGUGCUGUAAGGAAGGGAGGAGACGUUUUCCAACACCGGCAACAGUGUUUACUUGUAUGCUAAGAAGGUGUUCAAAAGGGUAUCAAUUAGCCUAAAUGCUGAUUUUAAGUGUUCUAAUCACUCUUAACUUUUAAAGGAGGUGUUGUAUUUCGAGCUGACCUGUUUACCUAGAAUCCUCCUUUAGCUCAGGACUCUUCUUGUGCACCCCCAGCCUCCGCUGGCAGGGCGGUAUGAGAAACUGGAAAGUCCUUGACUUAGUAUAAACACUGCUUAGCAACAACCAAAGCAUCAGUGUGUUGUCAACAUUAUUCUCAUCCUAAAUCCAAAAUGGCCCUGUACCAGCUACUUGGAAGAAAAUUAACUUUAUUCCAGCCGAAACCAGGACAACCCCAAACCCCCUGAUUCUGGGUCUGCAACGGAAAAAAACAAACGAAUUUGGGACUCCUGGGAAAGCCAAAUUCGCCUGGAUUUGUGCAGCUGGAAAGCAAAAUAACCACCCCAUUUUCAUGCACAAAACCACAACCAAAAGAUCACCCCUUUUUAUGUUGUGGAAAAGCA
Aquila chrysaetos chrysaetos is the source of this 2388-nucleotide long non-coding RNA. RefSeq lists it as uncharacterized. The record is from RefSeq and is a predicted model, not a curated record. Lineage: Eukaryota; Metazoa; Chordata; Aves; Accipitriformes; Accipitridae. The transcript has 2 exons.